GACGUAGGAUGCGAGCGUUGUCCGGAUUUAUUGGGCGUAAAGAGUUCGUAGGUGGUUUGUUAAGUCUGAUGUUAAAGACUGAGGCUCAACCUCGGAAAUGCAUUGGAUACUGGCAGACUGGAGUGCAGUAGAGGCAAGUGGAAUUCCCAGUGUAGCGGUGAAAUGCGUAGAUAUUGGGAAGAACACCAGUGGCGUAAGCGACUUGCUGGGCUGUAACUGACACUGAGGAACGAAAGCCAGGGGAGCGAAUGGG
RNAcentral lists this ribosomal RNA (253 nucleotides) under uncultured bacterium. Its description in RNAcentral is "partial 16S ribosomal RNA". It matches the Rfam family "Bacterial small subunit ribosomal RNA", at positions 524 to 776 of the family's 1533-position model. The record is from RNAcentral.